RNAcentral lists this long non-coding RNA (461 nucleotides) under Citrus sinensis (sweet orange). RNAcentral's name for it is "long non-coding RNA (CSIN_LNC004845)". Lineage: Eukaryota; Viridiplantae; Streptophyta; Magnoliopsida; Sapindales; Rutaceae. The record is from RNAcentral.
CUGAAUAUCCCUCUGCCUCCACAAAGUGCUUACCGCAUUCAAUGAAUUAUGAAGCAGCCCAUGUCGUGGCAUUGACAACUGACAACUGAGAGAGCUUGCUGACUAAAAACAACAGUCUUUGAGAUGCUCACGUUUUCACGCUAUGCGUGACCUUUUCAUGAGUUAUCAUUACCCCCUUUAGCAUCAACAGUUCAUCCUGAUGUGAAUUGCAGAAAAGCAAAAAACAUCAUCCAACUAGGGAUUCAGUUAAAGCCAACAUAUAUUUUCUGGAAGCAAGUUUUUGGAAUUCUUGACCCAGGUAUCUGUGUGGAGCCUUGGUUGAUUGGUGGCCCGCAAGCAGCAGCUUUGCCACCUUUCCUUCAGCUUUAUUCGGGUGUUCGAGGGCUAAAGCCUUACCAGAGUCCUUACAAAGAGGUGGACAUAGACAGCAAGGAGAACCCUGUCCCCUGGCCUUGUCAGCU